UCGCCGUUGGUGAACCAGCGGAGGGAUCAUUACCGAGUUUACAACUCCCAAACCCCCGUGAACAUACCAUUUGUUGCCUCGGCGGUGCCUGCUUCGGCAGCCCGCCAGAGGACCCAAACCCUUGAUUUUAUACAGUAUCUUCUGAGUAAAUGAUUAAAUAAAUCAAAACUUUCAACAACGGAUCUCUUGGUUCUG
RNAcentral lists this unclassified non-coding RNA (195 nucleotides) under plant metagenome. RNAcentral's name for it is "partial contains small subunit ribosomal RNA, internal transcribed spacer 1, and 5.8S ribosomal RNA". The record is from RNAcentral.